This 66-nucleotide transfer RNA is filed under the name Anolis punctatus (spotted anole). RNAcentral's name for it is "tRNA-Lys". Lineage: Eukaryota; Metazoa; Chordata; Lepidosauria; Squamata; Anolidae. The record is from RNAcentral.
CUUUAAGAAGCUUUAAUAGCACUAGACUUUUAAUCUAGAGAUGGAACAAAUAAGAUCCCUUAAUGG